ACGAUGAAGCCUAGCUUGCUAGGUGGAUUAGUGGCGAACGGGUGAGUAAUACGUGAGUAACCUACCUUUAACUCUGGGAUAAGCCUGGUGAAACUGGGUCUAAUACCGUGAUACGAGCCAAUCUCCGCAUGGGGUGUUGGAUGGAAAGCGUUAUGUAGUGGUUAUAGAUGGGCUCACGGCCUAUCAGCUUGUUGGUGAGGUAACGGCUCACCAAGGCGACGACGGGUAGCCGGCCUGAGAGGGUGACCGGCCACACUGGGACUGAGACACGGCCCAGACUCCUACGGGAGGCAGCAGUGGGGAAUAUUGCACAAUGGGCGCAAGCCUGAUGCAGCGACGCCGCGUGAGGGAUGACGGCCUUCGGGUUGUAAACCUCUGUUAGCAGGGAAGAAGAGAAAUUGACGGUACCUGCAGAGAAAGCGCCGGCUAACUACGUGCCAGCAGCCGCGGUAAUACGUAGGGCGCGAGCGUUGUCCGGAAUUAUUGGGCGUAAAGAGCUUGUAGGCGGUUUGUCGCGUCUGCUGUGAAAGGCCGGGGCUUAACUCCGUGUAUUGCAGUGGGUACGGGCAGACUAGAGUGCAGUAGGGGAGACUGGAACUCCUGGUGUAGCGGUGGAAUGCGCAGAUAUCAGGAAGAACACCGAUGGCGAAGGCAGGUCUCUGGGCU
Molecule: ribosomal RNA, 666 nt
Filed under: uncultured Actinomycetales bacterium
Lineage: Bacteria; Bacillati; Actinomycetota; Actinomycetes; Actinomycetales
Description: bacterial SSU rRNA
Rfam family: Bacterial small subunit ribosomal RNA
Source: RNAcentral